UUUAGCAGGGCUCAGCAAGAGUUAACAGAGAGAGUAAGGUGAGCUGAGGCAGCAGUACAAAGCAACGUGGUUGUUCAACAGGCACGGCAAAGAAAUCUGAUCUAGCAGCAAAACUGCCUGUCUGGAGUCAGCAGCAGAGUCACGUAGUGUUCUGGUAGUCGGCAGCAGUCAAAGGACAGCUGAAACAGCAAUUCACAUCUUAAGGAGUAGAACGAAGAAAAUAAUUAGGCUCAAUAACUCAAAAUCUUAUUGACCUAAAGAAAACAGUUCUUCAAGAUAGCUGUGAUGUUAAAUGCUGAAAUACAGACUCUCCUGAAAAAGAAGUUUAAACAGUUGGCAGGUGACUGUGUUUCUUUUGUUCAUUAAGAUGUGAACCAUCACCAGAGAAAAACUUCUGGAGUUUCAUGUCCUGAAGCAGGCAAGCCCCAGCACUUGGGAGCAGCACAUACAUCCUGGACUUGCCUGAAGCGCUGCCAGACCCCUUUGUCCUCACAGAUUUCAGAAUGCCACCAGCAUGCUUCAGCACAUCCCUACCAACUGCGGUUGCAUGGGAGAUUAAAUGCCUAUGACUCAUCCAGAGUGUUUUGAUCAUGUGCAGUUACCUGCAGCUUCAUAUGCUGAGAAUGACAUCAUAUGGUAUGGAAUAUCCCUUUGGUCACCUGGGGUCAGCUGUGCAAGCUGUGUCUCCUCUCAAUGUCUUGUGCACCCCCAGCCUGCUCACUGGUGGGGUGGUGUGAGGAGCAGAAAAGUACUUGACUGUAAGCGCUGCUCAUCAGUAAGGAAAACAUCCCUGUACUAUCAACACUGUUUUCAGCACAAAUCGAAAACAUAGCCCCAUACCAGAUCCUAUGAAGAGAAUUAACCCUAUCUCAGCCAAAACCAGCACAUUCUCUUACCAAAAAUCCCCCUACAACUUGUCUACUAAUCUGAAAGAGUAGAAAAUCCAAGAAAACUCUGAUUUACAUGCACAUAUUUUGUGGACAAAACCAGAAGAUUGUGGGAAUUAAGAGCUAGUGGCUAUCAAAAUGUAAACUGACCUUGAGGUUAGAAGAACAAUUGUGGGAAACUGAGGCAACAUUUGGAACACCGUGUUGUGAACGUCAGAAACAGCAGGCCAGAACACCUCCUGCAGAAUGCACGGUGAACGUGUGAGCAGUAAACAGAUAAAACCUGAAGGUCACUAGGAUGUAGAAGUAAUAACAAACCUAUGUAAAGAAGUGAGAACAAAUUGGGAGCUGGCACACAGUGCAGUGGCAUUUGUUCUUGGCAUUGCCAAGAACAACAAACUGGUGUGAGUUUGUCUUUCUUUUGUGCAUCAUUCUGAUCCUGGCUGGACCGAGACUGACAAAUGGUGCCCUGUGUGAGCUGCUACGAAAACCUGAAGAAGAUGGUGGUGUGCUCGUAUGCGAAGGAGGAAAGUGGCAUCCAGACAUAAAUAUUUGUUCCGCUGCAGCAGAACAUCAUUUUAGCACC
Molecule: long non-coding RNA, 1473 nt
Organism: Athene cunicularia (burrowing owl)
Lineage: Eukaryota; Metazoa; Chordata; Aves; Strigiformes; Strigidae
Exons: 5
Source: RefSeq, a predicted model, not a curated record